UUCGGAAUGAAACCAGAUAUGACUUAGUGGCGGACGGGUGAGUAACACGUGAGCAACCUGCCUUUCAGAGGGGGAUAACGGCUGGAAACGGUCGCUAAUACCGCAUGACGUGUUCGGAUGGCAUCAUCUGAACAUCAAAGAUUUAUCGCUGAAAGAUGAGCUCGCGUCCGAUUAGACAGUUGGCGGGGUAACGGCCCACCAAAUCAACGAUCGGUAGCCGGACUGAGAGGUUGAACGGCCACAUUGGAACUGAGAACGGUCCAGACUCC
This 269-nucleotide ribosomal RNA is filed under the name uncultured Eubacteriales bacterium. RNAcentral's name for it is "uncultured Clostridiales bacterium partial 16S ribosomal RNA". It matches the Rfam family "Bacterial small subunit ribosomal RNA", at positions 78 to 339 of the family's 1533-position model. Lineage: Bacteria; Bacillati; Bacillota; Clostridia; Eubacteriales. The record is from RNAcentral.